This is an RNA transcript of Enhydra lutris kenyoni (northern sea otter), 723 nucleotides long. It is a transcript of the gene named translationally-controlled tumor protein pseudogene, with no coding region annotated. NCBI's taxonomy places the organism in Eukaryota, Metazoa, Chordata, Mammalia, Carnivora, Mustelidae. The transcript has a single exon. The record is from RefSeq and is a predicted model, not a curated record.
AUGAUCAUCUACUGGGACCUCAUCAGCCAUAAUGAGAUGUCCUCUGACAUCUACAAGAUCUGGGAGAUCGCAGGUGGGCUGUGCCAGGAGGUGGAGGUGAAGGUGGUCAGCAGGACAGAGGGUAACACUGAUGACUUGCUCAUUGGUGGAAAUGCCUCCACUGAUAGCUGGAAGGCAAAGAUACAGAAAUCACAGUCAUCCCUGGUGUGUUAUUGUCAUGAACCAUCACUUGCAGGAAACCAGCUUCACAAAGGAAGCCUGUAAGAAGUACAUUAAAGAUUAUAUUAAAUCAAUCAAAGGCAAACUUGAGGAACAGAGCCCAGAAAGAGUAAACCCUUUUAUGACAGGAGCUGCAGAACACAUCAAGCACAUCUUUGCUAAUUUCAAAAACUACAAAUUCUUUAUUGGUAAAAACAUGAAUCCAGAUGGCCUGGCUGCUCUGCUGGACUACUGUGAGGGUGGUAUGACCCCAUAUAGGAUUCUUGUUAAGGAUGGUUUAGAAAUGGAGAAAUGUUAAUGAACUUGGCUAUGACUCUAGAUGUAUCACCUGUUGCCAUAACUGGCUCUGCUCUUCAUCUGCACAGCACCAGGACUUAGACAAAUGGGACUGAUGUCAUCUUGAGCUCUUCGUUUAUUUUGACCCUGAUUUAUUUGGAGCAGAGGCAUUGUUUCUAAGAAAAAACAUGUCAUGUAGGCUGUCUAAAAUUAAAAUGCAUUUAAGCU